CGGGGCGUGGCUCAGUUUGGCUAGAGCGCUUGAAGGGGGGUCAAGAGGUCACAGGUUCAAGUCCUGUCGCCCCGACCA
This 78-nucleotide transfer RNA is filed under the name Candidatus Omnitrophota bacterium. RNAcentral's name for it is "tRNA-Pro". It matches the Rfam family "tRNA". Rfam says of the family: Transfer RNA (tRNA) molecules are approximately 80 nucleotides in length. Their secondary structure includes four short double-helical elements and three loops (D, anti-codon, and T loops). Lineage: Bacteria; Pseudomonadati; Candidatus Omnitrophota. The record is from RNAcentral.